GACGAACGCUGGCGGCGUGCUUAACACAUGCAAGUCGAACGGAAAGGCCUGCUUUCCCUUGUGGAUUGCGGGUACUCGAGUGGCGAACGGGUGAGUAACACGUGAGUGAUCUGCCCCCAACUUGGGUAUAAGCCUGGGAAACUGGGUCUAAUUCCCGAUAGGACUGCAGGGUGGUGCCUGUGGUGGAAAACGAUUUUCUAGUGGUUGGGGAUGAGCUCGCGGCCUAUCAGCUUGUUGGUGGGGUAAUGGCCUACCAAGGCGGCGACGGGUAGCCGGCCUGGGAGGUGGGCCGGCCACUUUGGGCUGGGGUUCCGCCCCAGACUCUUACGGAGGCAGCAGUGGGGAAUAUUGCACAAUGGGCGGAAGCCUGAUGCAGCGACGCCGCGUGGGGGAUGACGGCCUUCGGGUUGUAAACUCCUUUCGACCGCGAGGAAGCCACCUGGUUGGAAGGGUGGUGACGGUAGUGGUAGAAGAAGCACCGGCUAACUACGUG
This 493-nucleotide ribosomal RNA is filed under the name uncultured bacterium. RNAcentral's name for it is "partial 16S ribosomal RNA". It matches the Rfam family "Bacterial small subunit ribosomal RNA", at positions 28 to 507 of the family's 1533-position model. The record is from RNAcentral.